This is a long non-coding RNA of Ixodes scapularis (black-legged tick), 461 nucleotides long. RefSeq lists it as uncharacterized. Lineage: Eukaryota; Metazoa; Arthropoda; Arachnida; Ixodida; Ixodidae. The transcript has 3 exons. The record is from RefSeq and is a predicted model, not a curated record.
AGACACGAGGUGAGCUGGUUGCUGCUUUGAAAAAGAAGCACGUGGCCAUCCCCAUGACAUUGGACUCAAGGUUCGAGCGGGUGGCAAGAACAAAAAAAAAAAAAAGAAGACGGAGGACAAGACGUCCACUGUGUCGCUUGUGGAGCAUGCCUGACUGGUUGAAAAGCUGCGGUCGGCAAAGCAGAGGGUGGUGAACCUGAAGCAGGAGCUCCAGAUAAAGAGGACGCUACGAAGGAGACUGCAGUAGCAGCUGCUGGCACUACAGGUGGACAAUGCCCCGUCUGGCGGUGUUGGGUCAGCUCCUCCAGCUUGCCCAGCAGCAGUUCCUGCAGCUGGUGCUCCUGCUUCAGUUUGCGUUGUGCGAGCUGGUGUAGAUCACACCCGACCCGUACCGGCCGCUGAUGCUGCUGUUCCAGCAGCAGUUCUCUUAGCAGGACCACCGGAUUCACCUCCCGAGUGUG